UGCAAACACAGAUAAGGAAGCAGCUAUGACACAGAGGUGGAGCUUCCUGGGUAAUUGGCAAGUUUCACAUACAUACGGUGGAUCCCAGUAAACACAAUGGGCCUUAGUGAGCACAUUCCUUUCCUUUUUACGACAUACUCAUGGGGAGAUGCCUGCAGCCGCACCAACAAAAAAGGAGUACCUGGGGCCAGGCAUGUCCACCGUGCGGGAUCUACCUCCCCUUUUUCAGCACAUGCACAGUAGGAAAGAAAUAAGCAAUGCGAAGAAGCUCAGGCCAAGGAGCCGUCUGCAUAAUAAAAGAAUGGCAACACUUUUGGGGACCCC
RNAcentral lists this long non-coding RNA (324 nucleotides) under Homo sapiens (human). RNAcentral describes it as "HSALNT0032589". The record is from RNAcentral. Lineage: Eukaryota; Metazoa; Chordata; Mammalia; Primates; Hominidae.